This 253-nucleotide ribosomal RNA is filed under the name uncultured bacterium. Its description in RNAcentral is "partial 16S ribosomal RNA". It matches the Rfam family "Bacterial small subunit ribosomal RNA", at positions 524 to 776 of the family's 1533-position model. The record is from RNAcentral.
UACGGGGGGGGCAAGCGUUGUUCGGAAUUACUGGGCGUAAAGGGCGCGUAGGCUGCCUUCUAAGUCGGACGUGAAAUCCCUCGGCUCAACCGAGGAACUGCGUCCGAUACUGAAAGGCUUGAAUCCGGGAGAGGGAUGUGGAAUUCCAGGUGUAGCGGUGAAAUGCGUAGAUAUCUGGAGGAACACCGGUGGCGAAGGCGGCAUCCUGGACCGGCAUUGACGCUGAGGCGCGAAAGCUAGGGGAGCAAACGGG